GUGGGGAUGAUGUCAAGUCAGCAUGGCCUUUAUAUCCUGGGCUACACACACGCUACAAUGGCCAACACAAUAGGUUGCUAAGCCGCGAGGUGGCGCCAAUCCAUAAAGUUGGUCUCAGUUCAGAUUGUAGGCUGCAACCCGCCUGCAUGAAGAUGGAGUUGCUAGUAACCGCAGGUCAGCCUAUACUGCGGUGAAUACGUUCCCGGGGCUU
RNAcentral lists this ribosomal RNA (211 nucleotides) under uncultured Leptolinea sp. RNAcentral's name for it is "partial 16S ribosomal RNA". It matches the Rfam family "Bacterial small subunit ribosomal RNA", at positions 1173 to 1382 of the family's 1533-position model. The record is from RNAcentral. Lineage: Bacteria; Bacillati; Chloroflexota; Anaerolineae; Anaerolineales; Anaerolineaceae.